Dromaius novaehollandiae (emu) is the source of this 690-nucleotide long non-coding RNA. RefSeq lists it as uncharacterized. The record is from RefSeq and is a predicted model, not a curated record. The transcript is spliced from 3 exons. Lineage: Eukaryota; Metazoa; Chordata; Aves; Casuariiformes; Dromaiidae.
GUGAGUUGUACUGCUCUAAUUGCAGCCUCUUAUGAGAGUCACAUGAUUAUUUAACGAGGAUCUUUGAUUGGAUGAAUGAGCAAACACAUCUUUUAUAAAUACUAGUUUGUGCCAGUUUCGGUGCUUAUUUUGUCUUGAUGCUGAGGCACACAAGUUGGCAAGCAUAUCUUCCAGGAAAACCAUUUCUCAAGCGCUGAUGAAAAGUGAGCCCAGGCUGCUGCUGAUGUGAGAUAGUACAGAGUGAGCUUCCGGGAUUGAAGAAUGAGUGACGCUUUUCACAUCAUGAAGAUAUUCCACCCAACAUUGGUGAUUGUCUUCCAGCUCAAGUGAAUUGUUGCAAACUCAUCUUGGUGACAUGGAUAUUUCCAGAAGUCCUUUAUCUCUGUGUUUCACUGACUGGCUUAAAUUAUUAACAAACUGUCCUUUCAAACUAAGCUGCCAAGCCAGCCACAGCUCCUCGAACCACAAACACAAUAAAAGGCAAAUUCUUCGCAAAAAUACAAUCCUUUUUGUUGAAUGGAUUCCACUUACUGACCAAAGGAAUUAUAGAUCAAGGAAGAAGAAAGGUAAAGAAGUAACAGGCUUAGAAAUCUGAAGCUGGGCAUUGAUACAUAGGACGGUAUCAUGGCAGUCCUUUGAAUGUGCAGAGAAGAUACAUUUGGGAAUAAAUAAUGGAGAAUGUUUAGAAAA